GGACUACUGGGGUUUCUAAUCCUGUUUGCUCCCCACGCUUUCGCGCCUCAGCGUCAGUGUCGGUCCAGUGAGCCGCCUUCGCCACUGGUGUUCUUCCCAAUAUCUACGAAUUUCACCUCUACACUGGGAAUUCCACUCACCUCUCCCGAACUCAAGCCGCCCAGUCUCAAGCGCUAUUCCCAGGUUGAGCCCGGGGCUUUCACGCCUGACUUGAGCAACCGCCUACGCGCCCUUUACGCCCAGUAAUUCCGAACAACGCUAGCCCCCUUCGUAUUACCGCGGCUGCUGGCAC
This 292-nucleotide ribosomal RNA is filed under the name uncultured Alphaproteobacteria bacterium. RNAcentral's name for it is "partial 16S ribosomal RNA". The record is from RNAcentral. Lineage: Bacteria; Pseudomonadati; Pseudomonadota; Alphaproteobacteria.